CGGUAGCACAGAGAGCUUGCUCUCGGGUGACGAGUGGCGGACGGGUGAGUAAUGUCUGGGGAUCUGCCCGAUAGAGGGGGAUAACCACUGGAAACGGUGGCUAAUACCGCAUAACGUCGCAAGACCAAAGAGGGGGACCUYCGGGCCUCUCACUAUCGGAUGAACCCAGAUGGGAUUAGCUAGUAGGCGGGGUAAUGGCCCACCUAGGCGACGAUCCCUAGCUGGUCUGAGAGGAUGACCAGCCACACUGGAACUGAGACACGGUCCAGACUCCUACGGGAGGCAGCAGUGGGGAAUAUAGCACAAUGGGCGCAAGCUGAUGCAGCCAUGCCGCGUGUAUGAAGAAGGCCUUCGGGUUGUAAAGUACUUUCAGCGGGGAGGAAGGCGACGGGGUUAAUAACCCUGUCGAUUGACGUUACCCGCAGAAGAAGCACCGGCUAACUCCGUGCCAGCAGCCGCGGUAAUACGGAGGGUGCAAGCGUUAAUCGGAAUUACUGGGCGUAAAGCGCACGCAGGCGGUCUGUUAAGUCAGAUGUGAAAUCCCCGGGCUUAACCUGGGAACUGCAUUUGAAACUGGCAGGCUUGAGUCUUGUAGAGGG
RNAcentral lists this ribosomal RNA (599 nucleotides) under Enterobacter sp. Bt 20. RNAcentral describes it as "bacterial SSU rRNA". It matches the Rfam family "Bacterial small subunit ribosomal RNA", at positions 67 to 658 of the family's 1533-position model. The record is from RNAcentral. Lineage: Bacteria; Pseudomonadati; Pseudomonadota; Gammaproteobacteria; Enterobacterales; Enterobacteriaceae.